CUGGCAACAAAUGGCCACAAACCGAUCAAAGGUGAAAGUGACGGUGAACCAGACCGAGCAGUCAGUGGCUGCAUAAAGCAGGACGGCGUGGAUAUUACACACGGGGACGGAGUACUCCAGGAAAUAAAACUGUUCCCAAUAAACAAUGGGAAUGUGUCUCAGGAUCAGGUCGAGGAUAAUGACCAGGAGAUCCGCCGCUGCCAUGGCCCCCAGGUAUCUGUGUUAGCUGUCUGGAUACAGAAUUGGCUGACAAGCAGAAGACAGCGAGUGAUAGUGGAAGGAAAAUAAUUUGCCUGGAAGUCUGUGGGCCAUAUAAACAUAUCUUCAAAUCGACCGAGACCAUUUUCUGCUAAGGGUAUGGCUCUGUGUAUGACAGCAGCAAUGAUGCACCGACAUGGAACAGGGAAUGUGAUGGAGACAUAGUUUGGACAAUGUACAAGGAGACCUCACAUGGUCCAGUUUGGGAGAGAAUGACAUUAUUGUGUGAUUCAACUCAGAGAGGGAGAAAACGUCAUCUACCCGAGAAGAAACGGCCUAUUGCACUCUCUCUCCUUCAUUACUCCCCAUCACAGUAACGUGUACGAGCUAAAACAAAGCUCUACUGUCAUCGUUACCAUUCUUAUUUUUGUAAAUUCCCUGCAGUGUGGAAACAAGCCCUUCGGCCCAACAAGUCCAUACUAACCCUCCAAAGAGUAACCUUCUCAUGCCCUUACAGUUACCACUGACUAUUGCACCUGAAGUAGAAAUCGCUGAACAGCAUGGUCUAUUUGACCAAUCCACUUGAAUUAUACAGCUUUGGGCGGAAACAGGAGCACCCAUCAGAAGCUCACGCAGACCAUGGGAGAAGAUGCAAACUCCACGCAGAUAGUCGCCCGAGGCUGGAAUUGAACCCAUGUCCCUGAUGCUGUGAUGGAACAGUACGAACUACUGAGCCACUGUGCUAACCUGGAACCUCCUGACUGCCUAAUGCAAAGGGAAUUCAGCCAAAUCCAACUCUCCCAGGAUAAAAUCCCAUUGCUAGCGGCUGUGUGAGUAAAUUAUCUUCAGAAGCAGAAUAACAUUUUGGACAAACUCUCAAUUUUUCCUUUUUGUCAUUAGUUACACUAAUAUUUGGACAAGGUUCUUUCAAUGUGAAAUUGCAGAGAUUUUGUUUAUUUUGCGUGUGUGUGUGUGUGUCUGUGUGUCAGUGUUUUUAGAACGUGAAAUAUCGAGUCUUUAUUUGCAAACAGUUUGCCAUUCAGCAUUCCAUCAUAGUUAGAGUAAUGUUGCUCUGGAUCAGAAACGUGCGAUUUUAGCAGAUUAAAGAAACCAGCCUGAUUCGUUCCUAAAACUGACCCUGACCCAGUCUGAGACUGAUAUCAUCGGCCAUAUCACCGACUUUGUUGCAUUUAAAAUUUGUUGUGAGCAGUGGAGGAGUGGGACGAGAAAAGGGACAGGUGAGCCAGAUGUCGGUGGUGGGUGAGCUGUUGGAGGGGAUUCUGAGGGAUAGCAUUUACAUACAUUUGGGAAGGCAAGGGAUGAUCAGGUUAUUCAACAUGGCUUUCUGCAUGGGAAAUCAUGUCUCAUUAAUUUGAUUGAGUUUUAUGAAGAGGUGACAAAGAAGAUUGAUGAAGGCAGUUUGGUAGACAUUGUCAGUAUGGUCCUCAGCAAGAUGUUCAUAACAUUCUGAUUGGUAGGCAGAUUAGUAAGGUUCGGUCACAUGGGAUACAGAAGAAGCGAGUCACAGUUGGCUUGAAGGAAGAGAGGUAUUUUUCAGACUGGAGGCUUGUGAGCAGAAGUUAUACACUUAAUGGUGAGGGCCUGGUGAGUGUUGUGAAACAAAUGGACAUAGGGCUGCAGGUACAUUGUUCCUUGAAAGUGGAGUCGAAUGCAGACAGUGCGAUGCAGAACACUUUUACAGGUUUGCCUUAAUCAGUCAGAACAUUGAGUAUAGGAGUUGUGGUGGCAUGUUGUAUCUGUACAGGAUGUUGGUGAGGCCACUUUAAGAAUACUGCGUACAACUCAGUUUCCUGCAGAAAAUAUUUACAUGGAUGUCCCAGGACUGGAGGUUUGAGCUUUAGGGAGAGGUUGAUCAGUUUGCGGUGUUUCCCCCUGGAGUGUCAGAGGCUGAAGGAUGACAUUACAGAGGUUAAUAAAAUCAUCAGGGGCAUGGAUAUUGUGAACAGUCAUGUUCCGCUCCCCAGGGUAGGGGAGUCCAGAACAGGAGAGCGUAGGUUGGAGGGGAGAGGGCGAAUGAUUUAGAAGGGACCUGAAGUUAAAUGUUUCACACAGAGAGUGGUGUGUGUACAUAAAGUGCUGUCAGAGGAAGUGGUGAAGGCAGUUACAAUCGCACAUUUAAAAAGUAUCUGAAAGAGGAGAAAUAUUGGCCAAAUGCUGGUAAAUGGGACUGGAUCAGAUUUGAUAGCUGAUCGGAGUGAACAGAUUGGACUAACGGGUCUGUUUCUAUUCUGCAUGAUUCUGAUUCUAUAAGAGGGAUGACAAAAAAUUCUGGAAGUACCUUUCAAAUCCGAAUCCUCUUCACUGGAAGUUUAUCAUGCCCCUAUGUUCACAUUGAUUGAAAGUUGCGUUACUGAAAUAUUUGACAGAGAACUGAGUCAUGGAUAAUGUGACGCAGACAGGAAAGUGGGGCUGAGACCCCAACCUGAUCAGCCACAAGCUUAGUGCCUGGUGGAGAAGGCUCAAAGUGUCUAACGACUCACUCCUGUCCCUCAAUCCCGUGUUCCUGUGCUCCAUUCAGGCCCCUAAACCUGUUAGGCAGGAGCAUUUAGAGGCUACUUACUUCUAUAACCUGGUGCACAGAAACAGAGGAGAUCAUUCGGCCCUUCAAGACUGUCCCACAUACUUUGAGGUGAUUUGAGAAAUGUAAUUAGAAAAUCCAGGCUGGGUAUGAAAGAGGCCCCUCAUCUCUCUUUACUGAGCUUCCCCUCUCUGCAACUUGUGCUCCAUUUGUUGGUCAUGUUGUAGACCCAAAUUCACUGUGAAUACAGCUCCCAUACAUCACCCAGCGAUGGCUCACAAAAUCCUUUGGUCUCCCUGACGGCAACACUUAAUACCAAAACAUUCAUAAAAACAACACACACUAACUUUCCAAUAACAAAAUGUGAGGACAUCAGACAAUGUUCAGAAUAAUUUGACGUCCCCAUCAGCUUCUGAACUGGUCUGUGUCCAUGUGCAGCAAGACAUGGACUCCAUUGAGGCUUGUGCUUUUAAAGAGUCCGUAACAUUCAUAUAAAGGACUGUCUGACACUGCACAUUGCCACAGUAAAAUAAGAGAUCAUUCCGCACCACACACUGGUUUCACAGGAAUAUGAGGAAAUCGUUCAGCCCAUUGACACUAUUGGGGAAGAACAGGGACAGCCCAUCAGUGCCUCCAGCCUAUUACUCAGGAUGAGAAGGAUUCUAGGGUGAUGGGCCACACCAGAGCCCCUCGAUAAUAUUUGAAGGUGGUAGCCUAGACUCUACUAUUUUCUUAUUUUAAAGAAAAUAUAAAGUGUCUGUUCCAGAUGCAAUGUGACUGGUCAAACAACUCGGUAUGCAGGAUAACACUAUUUACUUAAACGCGAUAGAUAAAAUAAAACCAAAGAAAGAGGAAUUUAGAAAAAUGCAAUUAUAUUGGACAAGUUAACAGAAUAAGAGAUCUAGGGACUAUUACUAAUGAACUGUUCCAAUACUGGAAAAUCACAUGAACACAACCCUUGGCAAAAAAGGAAUAUUCAGACACUGAAUGACACAAAUUUUUCUCCAAUUCAGAAUUUAAAAACAGCACCAAGAGAACUUUCAUACAGAGUAGCAGCCAGGAGACAUUUACUUUAGCUUUCAACUCGGUGGAGACCCCAAUAAUUUCUGAUGUUACUGAGAGAUCAAAACCCAGAAAUCCUAAUCUGUGAGAGCUGACCAUACCCAUUCCAUCUGCAUUAAAAUAAACCUAAGGCCUCCCUAGCUGUUACUCAAGUGGUCCUAACUAGCCAGCUUGGUAACGGUCAUUCAAUCUCUCUCGUAAAAGAAACCAUAACAAAAUAACGUCUAAAAGCUACAGCAUCAUCACACUAGUCAGCACAUCGAGCUGUCAUACAGGAACCAGGGGUAACCAAUCAGGCCCUUGGCCCUGUCCAAUCGGACGGGGAAGAAGCCAGUCAGUCCCUUGAGUCACUUAUACAGGAACAGGAGGAGGCCAUUCCCAUAUCAAUGCACUUACACAGGGACAGAAUGAGGUCAUUGAUGCUGAUUCCUGAUGAAUGUCUUAUGCUCGAAACAUCGAUUCUCCUGCUGUGCUUUUCCAGCAAACCACUGUCUUCUCUAAUCUCCAGCAUCAACAGUCCUCGCUGUCUCCUAACUGAUGCUCUAACAUGAUGACCAAGUGGAGCAAAGUUGCAUAGACAGACUGCUCCACGUUGUUCCUCGUAGCUCCGUCUGUCAUGAUACACACGUGGGACUUUAACGUGGUUUUCUAGUGGUGAGGAGGGAAGCCAUAUGUCUUGUGUGAAGGCACCUUCGAUCUCCAAGAUGACAACCUGGUGUUCUCUGUGUAGGGUGGAAGCUGGUGGGAAUGGCUACCUGCUUCAUAUGGAAGGUGUUGUGGCUGCUGUUGGGGAUUGUGAGCAACCUGACGUUCAGUACGGGUUCACACGCCGACUGCACAAUAAGGUGGGGAAAGUUAAUUAAGGCAUAUAAACUAUUAGGACAGUCACGUUAGACUGAUGAAUGGACUCUCUAAGAUCAAGUAAUGCUGGUCUGGUUCAUGUUGAUCUUGUCUAGUGCACGUCCUGAUCAGUGUAACCCGUGUGCCUUACUCUGUCCAAGUCUAUUUCCACCCUAUGAUCUGUCUGGCCAUGUUUACUAUGAUCUGCCUCCACUGCUCAUAAAUAAAGUGUUUCCCUGUACUGAGGUACUCGUGGCAAUAAAUCAAACCAAUCAAUCCUGGGUAAAGUAUGGAAUUUCUGUUUUGGCAAUAAGAGACCCCUGCCACUCCUCAUGUUUCAGCAUCACCAUUUUUUCGUCUGUCACACUCUACAGGUUAAACACUCAGCUUCUUCACUCUAUCCUCAUGUUACCAUCAUCUGUGUCUAUGGUACGGGAACCAUUCCUUACAAAGGACAUCAAAUCUGUACAGAAUGCCCCAAAUGCUCUCUCAGCAAGGUUCUACAACAGCUGAAAGAUGGCAAUACUUAUGUACUCGAAUCAUCAUACAAUGAAGGACAGCAUGCCAUUGACUGCACCCAUUACUUACACAGGGUUUGAUUCGGAGCAGUCAGCAUAGACUUGUGAGUGGGAGAUCAUGCUCCCCAAAUUUCUUAGAGUCCUUUGAUGAGAUUUGAUAAGUUUCCACACGGCAGGCUGCUCAGGAAGGUUCCAACACGUAGAAUGCGUGGGAACUGUCCAAUUGGAUACACAGUUGGCUUGAUGGUAGGAAGCAGAGGGUUUCAUGGAAGGAUACUUGUCAGACCGGAGACUUGGUCGAUUGCUGUUUGGUAUAUAUGAUUUGGUUGAGAAUGUACAAGGUAUGAUUAAUAAGUUUGCAGAUGACACUAAAGUAAGUGGGAGCAUGAUCGGUGAGGAAUAUUAUCAGAAAUUGCAGCAGGACCUUAAUCAGUUGGGGAAAUGGGCCAAGAAAUGGAAUUUAAUAUAGAAGCGUGAGGUCUUGCAUUUUGGAAAUUCAAAUUAAGGUAGGAGUUUCAUGGUGAAUGGGAGGGCCUUAAGGGGUGCAGGGGGCAGAGAGACCUUGGUGCCCUGGUGCACGGUUCCCUGACAGUCGAGUCACAGGUAGACAGGGCAGUGAAGAAGGCAUUUGGCACAAUGGCCUUUAUCAGGCAGGAUAUUGAGUAUAGAAAAUGGGAAUUUAUGUUGCAGUUAUACAGGGCUUUGGUAAGGCCGCACUUGGAGUAUUGUGUUCAGGUUUUUUCACUUUGUUUAAGGGAGGAUGUUAUUAAAUUAGAAAGAGUACAGAAAAACUUUACAAGGAUGUUGCCAGGACCCAAAGUUCUGAGUUAUAGGGAGAGGUUGGACAAGAUAGGACAUUUUCUUUAGCGUGUAGGAGACUGGGGGAGUUGUUAUAGAGCUGUAUAAAAUCACGAGGGGUAUGGAUAGGGUUAAUGCUCUCAGUCGUUUUCCAAGGUGUAGAGAAUCGAGGACGAGAGAGGAUCAGUUUAACGUUAGAAGGAAAGGAAUAAAAGGGAACCUGAGGGGCCACUUCUUUCCUCAGAGGCUGGUACGUGGAUGAGCUACUCGCAGAUGUAGUUGAGGGGAGUACAUUAACAACAUUUCAAAUGCAUUUGGAUAAAUAUUUGGGUAGGAAAGGACUGGAAGGAAAUGGGCCAACUGCAGGGAAAUGGGGUGAGCGUGGAUGGACAUUAAUAAGGUGGAGUCGAACCCCUCUGUUAAUUAAAACCAAACACCCAGAAAAGCUCACCUCACCUCGUAAUCUGUUAAAAUAUGAGCGAUACAGACCUCCUUUUAAACAAAAAUUAACAAGUUAGUUUCUUAACCUUAAUAGUGAACACCAUUCACAAAUACAAGUCCCUCUUUUCUCAGCUACUUGCUAUGUGACUCGAACUCUGUAAAAAUAUGCUGUUCCAACAACCCACAUAUUAAACAUUACAAUCUCAAGACCUUACAGUCUCUAUCUUCCCCGUUGUCUUCACUCUUUCAGCUGCUGAUCUCCCUGGGUCAUUUUUUUAAUGCAAGUAGGUUUGACAUGAACAUGUGUCUUUGAGAGAGAGUGUUUGAGAUGGCCAGUUAGCACUCCUGCUCUACAGCAGUUGCUCUUCUGUUGGAUGGCAGCAGCUCUCCCUCCAGUGUUCAACAUGCUGGGUUCAUAUACUCCCCAUGAUAUAUUAAUUCUCAUAAUUUGAUUGCUGUCCAGGUGUCCACACAAUAAUAUUCAAAUUCUGUUGGCAUCUGGUAUCCUGAGCGUUAUUUAAACUCUUUGGUUACAUUUGAAUGGCUGUCAAAAAAGCAACCAAAACUCAGGAAUCCAUUUCUGCGCUAAUGUUGACAUGUGGAACAAUGUGACCUUCAGCUGGCAUCUGUGGCUUUAAUUUCUAUUCAGCAAAACCUGAUCUGCCUUAAAGUGUCCAUACAUGUUUUUGUCUUCAUAACAUCUCCCCGCUUCAGAAAAUAAAAUUAACUAGCAGAAUGAAAAGAUGGCGACAUUUGUUUUCCUCUAACUCUUAAUCCCAAUUUUAUGAAAUACCAAAGUGUUAAUCUCAGUUAUAUCAUUCAUAUUAAUUCUGUACACCAAUACAACACUGGAAUAAGUCAAAACUUAGCUACACUUUUUCCUUUCAAUCCACGAAAACACAUCUGCUAUCACAUUAUAGGAGCCACAGCAUGUACAUUUUGUAAGUUUAAAGUCGGUAAGGUAAGACUCCAAUGAAAUAGUCUCAUAUUCUGGUCUUUAAAUAUUCUAAAAAACGCGAGAGAUUUGUCGUUGUCAACAACCAUCUCCGACAAUUUGUUUGACAUAUACACAUUAAAAUAUUGUCAGGCCAGUGUGGAACUUAAUCAUUCUUGUUCAAUAAGUAACCUAUCGGGGUCUCCAUUUUAAUUUUAUGAUUUUAUCUUUAAGUUAAUAACGUUCAACAAUAUAUUCUGAUUCAUUUUCUGUGUGUGUGCAUGUGUAUGUGUGUGUAUAUAUCUCUGUUGUACGUCCAUUAGCCUUUCAGGACGGAACACCUCUGCCUGUUCAGGUUUUUCCUGCACCGUUACAUCAAACAGGGUGUGAGUUCACUGAGCAUCAACUCAUUUGUCUUUUUCGUUCGUUUUUCCUUCCUGCUGUAACUUAUGACAGUGGGAUCUUGUUACUACACAGUCUGGAAAAAAUCCUGGAUAAUUUUCUUUUAACUCACCAAUUCCCUCAUCUUCCUUUGGCUUCUCCACCACAAGGUCUGCCUCUCACACCUCGCCUCCUGCUAAAUCGUUCCCAAGAACAAACUGCAUUCCUAGAACAGACACUCUGUUACUCACUGUCACAGUUACUUCCCCAAUCUUGAUUUGGCAUUCCUUCCUGCUGGAAUGCUUAACUUCUGUCCCCAUUUCACAAGUUAUCACGCUCUUGAUUAACAUGUCAGAAAGAGUGAAAAAAACUUUCAUCUCGUACUAUUAGAGGGAGAGAGAAAGUGAGGGCGGCAGAUGCUGGAGAUGAGAGUUGAAAAGUGUGGGGCUGGAAAAGCACAGCAUGUCGGCAGCAUCCAAGGGGCAGGAGCAUUGACGUUUCAGGCAUACGUCCU
Molecule: long non-coding RNA, 8225 nt
Organism: Hemiscyllium ocellatum (epaulette shark)
Lineage: Eukaryota; Metazoa; Chordata; Chondrichthyes; Orectolobiformes; Hemiscylliidae
Exons: 3
Source: RefSeq, a predicted model, not a curated record